This 1338-nucleotide ribosomal RNA is filed under the name Glutamicibacter sp. RNAcentral describes it as "bacterial SSU rRNA". It matches the Rfam family "Bacterial small subunit ribosomal RNA", at positions 95 to 1444 of the family's 1533-position model. The record is from RNAcentral. Lineage: Bacteria; Bacillati; Actinomycetota; Actinomycetes; Micrococcales; Micrococcaceae.
GUGGCGAACGGGUGAGUAACACGUGAGUAACCUGCCCCUGACUCUGGGAUAAGCCCGGGAAACUGGGUCUAAUACCGGAUAUGACUUCCUACUGCAUGGUGGGUUGUUGAAAGAUUUAUCGGUGGGGGAUGGACUCGCGGCCUAUCAGCUUGUUGGUGAGGUAAUGGCUCACCAAGGCGACGACGGGUAGCCGGCCUGAGAGGGUGACCGGCCACACUGGGACUGAGACACGGCCCAGACUCCUACGGGAGGCAGCAGUGGGGAAUAUUGCACAAUGGGCGGAAGCCUGAUGCAGCGACGCCGCGUGAGGGAUGACGGCCUUCGGGUUGUAAACCUCUUUCAGUAGGGAAGAAGCGAAAGUGACGGUACCUGCAGAAGAAGCGCCGGCUAACUACGUGCCAGCAGCCGCGGUAAUACGUAGGGCGCAAGCGUUAUCCGGAUUUAUUGGGCGUAAAGAGCUCGUAGGCGGUUUGUCGCGUCUGCCGUGAAAGUCCGAGGCUCAACCUCGGAUCUGCGGUGGGUACGGGCAGACUAGAGUGAUGUAGGGGAGACUGGAAUUCCUGGUGUAGCGGUGAAAUGCGCAGAUAUCAGGAGGAACACCGAUGGCGAAGGCAGGUCUCUGGGCAUUUACUGACGCUGAGGAGCGAAAGCAUGGGGAGCGAACAGGAUUAGAUACCCUGGUAGUCCAUGCCGUAAACGUUGGGCACUAGGUGUGGGGGACAUUCCACGUUUUCCGCGCCGUAGCUAACGCAUUAAGUGCCCCGCCUGGGGAGUACGGCCGCAAGGCUAAAACUCAAAGGAAUUGACGGGGGCCCGCACAAGCGGCGGAGCAUGCGGAUUAAUUCGAUGCAACGCGAAGAACCUUACCAAGGCUUGACAUGUGCCAGACCGCUCCAGAAAUGGGGUUUCCCUUCGGGGCUGGUUCACAGGUGGUGCAUGGUUGUCGUCAGCUCGUGUCGUGAGAUGUUGGGUUAAGUCCCGCAACGAGCGCAACCCUCGUUCCAUGUUGCCAGCACGUAGUGGUGGGGACUCAUGGGAGACUGCCGGGGUCAACUCGGAGGAAGGUGGGGAUGACGUCAAAUCAUCAUGCCCCUUAUGUCUUGGGCUUCACGCAUGCUACAAUGGCCGGUACAAUGGGUUGCGAUACUGUGAGGUGGAGCUAAUCCCUAAAAGCCGGUCUCAGUUCGGAUUGGGGUCUGCAACUCGACCCCAUGAAGUCGGAGUCGCUAGUAAUCGCAGAUCAGCAACGCUGCGGUGAAUACGUUCCCGGGCCUUGUACACACCGCCCGUCAAGUCACGAAAGUUGGUAACACCCGAAGCCGAUGGCCUAACCACCUU